UACGUAGGGUGCAAGCGUUGUCCGGAUUUAUUGGGCGUAAAGAGCGUGUAGGCGGCCUGGAAGGUCAGCUGUGAAAACUCGAGGCUCAACCUCGAGACGUCGGUUGAAACCACCUGGCUAGAGUCCGGAAGAGGAGUGUGGAAUUCCCGGUGUAGCGGUGAAAUGCGCAGAUAUCAGGAGGAACACCAGCGGCGAAGGCGGUGCUCUGGGCCGAUACUGACGCUGAGGAGCGAAAGCGUGGGGGAGCGA
This 249-nucleotide ribosomal RNA is filed under the name uncultured bacterium. Its description in RNAcentral is "partial 16S ribosomal RNA". It matches the Rfam family "Bacterial small subunit ribosomal RNA", at positions 524 to 771 of the family's 1533-position model. The record is from RNAcentral.